RNAcentral lists this transfer RNA (53 nucleotides) under Synchonnus slipinskii. Its description in RNAcentral is "partial tRNA-Ser". The record is from RNAcentral. Lineage: Eukaryota; Metazoa; Arthropoda; Insecta; Coleoptera; Lycidae.
AAAGAAAUAUAUCAAAAAAGCUUCUAACUUUUUAAAUAGCAUUAAAAUGUUAA